ACGGAACCGGCCCUGGGUCUCGCUCUAGCCCGCCACUCCCGACAAAUCCUCGCCUCUCCAUCUUUCGUCUCCUCUCCCUCCCUCGUCCCUCCAUCUCUCGAUCUGAAGAGGCGGCGGCCGAUGGCCUGCUCUGCGGUGGCGGCGGCGUUCCUAGGACCCGUUCCGGCAGCGGCCUGAUCUGCUGGGGCGCAGCACCGGCGACCUGAUCUGCUGGUGCGCACCGGCCUGAUCUGCGCCGGGGGGAGGAGGCGGUGGCACCGGCGGCCUAGUCUGCUGGGGGCUGCGGCGACCAGGCCUGUUGGGGGCUGCCGUAGUGCUGCCGUAGCAUCUUCUCUGUAGAUUGCUUUUUCUCGAGUUAGCGAUGAUAUGCAUCUUCUUUUUCUUGUUGGAGGCACAUGAGCGGUAGCAGAUCAUAGCUUCCAUAUAUUCUUAGUUCUUCUGUGUAAAUUGCUUCUUUUUGUUUGUAGAAAUGUAUUCGUAUGAUAUGUUUGAUUUCAUGUAUCUCAGUAUCUGCCAUGCUUGUGUAUAAAUGUUAUCAAAAUGACCAAAUUCGUUUUAUUGCGUCUCACCAAACACUCAAAUGUAACCAUUCCAUUCCAUCUAUUGCCUCAACCAAACAUAAGAACGGAACCGACCCAUUCUAGUGGAAUAGAAUGUCAUGGAACCAUGACAUUUCAUUCCAUUUCGUUUCACGAUCAAACACACUCUAAAUAGUUUUCAAUAGGAAGGUAGUACAAAAAGAAUCUCUAUCCUUGAUUGCAUGCACUCACAUUUCUCCUUCUCCAAUCCCAUCGUUUGAUUUUAUUCUGGUGCAAUAAGAUUUAGUUGUUUUUUAUUACACCAUUGAUUAUUUAGUUGCUGCUAACUACCUAAUUCUUCAAGGGCAUUUUCGUCCAAAAUCCUCCUUAAUUCUGUGCCUUGGUCACCACGCCCCAAAAAAUACAACUUAUAUAAAGAAACGAAGAGAGUAUAACAAUAAAUUUACAGUCCAUAAAUGAAUUAUUUGUUAUGAUAUCGGUUAGACCUCUUUCAUAACUAAAUAAAUAAAAAUAAAUCCCC
This 1059-nucleotide ribosomal RNA is filed under the name Triticum aestivum (bread wheat). Its description in RNAcentral is "partial small subunit ribosomal RNA". The record is from RNAcentral. Lineage: Eukaryota; Viridiplantae; Streptophyta; Magnoliopsida; Poales; Poaceae.